GUGCUUGCUUCAGCAGCACAUACAUUAAAAUUGGAAUGAUACAGGGAAGAUUAGCAUGACCCCUGCACAAGGAUGGCAACGCCAAUUCGUGAAGCUUUCCACAAAUUU
Erinaceus europaeus (western European hedgehog) is the source of this 108-nucleotide non-coding RNA. Lineage: Eukaryota; Metazoa; Chordata; Mammalia; Eulipotyphla; Erinaceidae. The record is from Rfam.